Molecule: ribosomal RNA, 403 nt
Filed under: uncultured bacterium
Lineage: Bacteria
Description: bacterial SSU rRNA
Rfam family: Bacterial small subunit ribosomal RNA
Source: RNAcentral
UAGGGAAUAUUAGUAAUGGGCGAAAGCCUGAACUAGCAACGCCGCGUGUGCGAAGAAGGCCUUCGGGUUGUAAAGCACUUUUUGAGAGGAUGAGGAAGGACGGUACUCUCAGAAUAAGUCUCGGCUAACUACGUGCCAGCAGCCGCGGUAACACGUAGGAGGCGAACGUUAUCCGGAUUUACUGGGCGUAAAGCGCGUGUAGGUGGUUUGGUAAGUAGGGCGUGAAAGCUCCUGGCUCAACUGGGAGAGGCCGUUCUAAACUGCCGAACGAGAGGAUGGUAGAGGGAGGUGGAAGUCCGGGUGUAGCGGUGGAAUGCGAAGAUAGCCGGAGGAACACCAGGGGCGAAAGCGGCCUCAUGGACCAUUCAUGACACGCAGACGCGAAAGCUAGGGUAGCAAACGG